UGGCGAACGGGUGAGUAACACGUGGGUAAUCUGCCCUGCACUCUGGGAUAAGCCUGGGAAACUGGGUCUAAUACUGGAUAUGACCUUUCUCCUUAUGGGGUUUGGUGGAAAGUUUUUCGGUGUAGGAUGAGUCCGCGGCCUAUCAGCUUGUUGGUGGGGUGAUGGCCUACCAAGGCGACGACGGGUAGCCGGCCUGAGAGGGUGAUCGGCCACAUUGGGACUGAGAUACGGCCCAG
RNAcentral lists this ribosomal RNA (236 nucleotides) under uncultured Actinomycetales bacterium. RNAcentral describes it as "partial 16S ribosomal RNA". It matches the Rfam family "Bacterial small subunit ribosomal RNA", at positions 96 to 334 of the family's 1533-position model. Lineage: Bacteria; Bacillati; Actinomycetota; Actinomycetes; Actinomycetales. The record is from RNAcentral.